This 468-nucleotide ribosomal RNA is filed under the name uncultured bacterium. Its description in RNAcentral is "partial 16S ribosomal RNA". It matches the Rfam family "Bacterial small subunit ribosomal RNA", at positions 28 to 507 of the family's 1533-position model. The record is from RNAcentral.
GACGAACGCUGGCGGCGUGCUUAACACAUGCAAGUCGAACGGAAAGGCCCUGCUUUUGUUGGUUGCUCGAGUGGCGAACGGGUGAGUAACACGUGAGUAACCUGCCCUUGACUUUGGGAUAACUUCAGGAAACUGGGGCUAAUACCGGAUAGGAGCUCCUGCUGCAUGGUGGGGGUUGGAAAGUUUCGGCGGUUGUGGAUGGACUCGCGGCUUAUCAGCUUGUUGGUGGGGUAGUGGCUUACCAAGGCUUUGACGGGUAGCCGGCCUGAGAGGGUGACCGGCGACAUUGGGACUGAGAUACGGCCCAGACUCAUACGGGAGGCAGCAGUGGGGAAUAUUGCACAAUGGGCGGAAGCCUGAUGCAGAAACGCCGCGUGCGGGAUGACGGCCUUCGGGGUGUAAACCGAUUUCGAAGGUGACGAAGCGUGAGUGACGGUAAUGGGUAAAGAAGCACCGGCUAACUACGUG